UACGUAGGCAGCAAGCGUUGUUCGGAAUUACUGGGCGUAAAGAGUGUGUAGGCGGUGCUCUAAGUUCGGUGUGAAAUCUCCCGGCUCAACUGGGAGGGUGCGCCGGAAACUGGAGUGCUGGAGCGCGGGGAGAGGAAAGCGGAAUUCCUGGUGUAGCGGUGAAAAUGCGUAGAUAUCAGGAGGAACACCGGCGGUGUAGACGGCUUUCUGGACCGUAGCUGACGCUGAGACACGAAAAGCGUGGGUAGCAAACAGG
This 256-nucleotide ribosomal RNA is filed under the name uncultured bacterium. Its description in RNAcentral is "partial 16S ribosomal RNA". It matches the Rfam family "Bacterial small subunit ribosomal RNA", at positions 524 to 776 of the family's 1533-position model. The record is from RNAcentral.